This 1065-nucleotide long non-coding RNA is filed under the name Oncorhynchus mykiss (rainbow trout). Its description in RNAcentral is "lncRNA (ENSOMYG00000069610.1)". The record is from RNAcentral. Lineage: Eukaryota; Metazoa; Chordata; Actinopteri; Salmoniformes; Salmonidae.
AUGAAGUGCUUUGAGAGACUAGUCAAGGACCACAUCACCUCCACCCUACCUGACACCCUAGACCCACUCCAAUUUGCUUACCGCCCAAAUAGGUCCACAGACGAUGCAAUCUCAACCACACUGCACACUGCCCUAACCCAUCUGGACAAGAGGAAUACCUAUGUGAGAAUGCUGUUCAUCGACUACAGCUCGGCAUUCAACACCAUAGUACCCUCCAAGCUUGUCAUCAAGCUCGAGACCCUGGGUCUCGACCCCGCCCUGUGCAACUGGGUACUGGACUUCCUGACGGGCCGCCCCCAGGUGGUGAGGGUAGGCAACAACAUCUCCACCCCGCUGAUCCUCAACACUGGGGCCCCACAAGGGUGCGUUCUGAGCCCUCUCCUGUACUCCCUGUUCACCCAUGACUGCGUGGCCACGCACGCCUCCAACUCAAUCAUCAAGUUUGCGGACGACACAACAGUGGUAGGCUUGAUUACCAACAACGACGAGACGGCCUACAGGGAGGAGGUGAGGGCCCUCGGAGUGUGGUGUCAGGAAAAUAACCUCACACUCAACGUCAGAGAGGGUAGUAAGGGUGGAGAGGUGGAGAGGGUAGUAAGUUUUAAGUUCCUCGGCAUACACAUCACAGACAAACUGAAUUGGUCCACUCACACAGACAGCAUCGAGAAGAAGGCGCAGCAGCGCCUCUUCAACCGCAGGAGGCUGAAGAAAUUUGGCUUGUCACCAAAAGCACUCACAAACUUCUACAGAUGCACAAUCUGUAUCACCGCCUGGUACGGCAACUGCUCCGCCCUCAACUGUAAGGCUCUCCAGAGGGUGGUGAGGUCUGCACAACGCAUCACCGGGGGUAAGCUACCUGCCCUCCAGGACACCUACACCACCCGAUGUUACAGGAAGGCCAUAAAGAUCAUCAAGGACAUCAACCACCCGAGCCACUGCCUGUUCACCCCGCUAUCAUCCAGAAGGCGAGGUCAGUACAGGUGCAUCAAAGCUGGGACCGAGAGACUGAAAAACAGCUUCUAUCUCAAGGCCAUCACUCUCAAGGCCAUCACAAGGCCCAACUAA